UCAGACGAUGCGUCAUGCAUAUCAAUAAGCGGAGGAAAAGAAACUAACAAGGAUUCCCUUAGUAACGGCGAGUGAAGCGGGAAGAGCUCAAAUUUGAAAUCUUCAAGGUUUUACCUUGACGAAUUGUAGUUUAAAGAAGUGUUUUCUGCUGAAGUUUUGGUAAAAGUUCUUUGGAAUAGGACAUCAUAGAGGGUGAGAAUCCCGUAUUUGACCAUUAUUUUCAACUUUGUGAUACACUUUCAAAGAGUCGGAUUGUUUGGGAAUGCAGUCCAAAAUGGGUGGUAAAUUUCAUCUAAAGCUAAAUAUUGGCGAGAGACCGAUAGCGAACAAGUACCGUGAGGGAAAGAUGAAAAGAACUUUGAAAAGAGAGUUAAACUAGUACGUGAAAUUGUCAAAAGGGAAGCGUUUGAACACCAGUGUUGUUUUCUCGAAAAUCAAUUAAAAAUGGCCUCGAUUUUGUAUUGCUUGAGACCUUAAAAGCUCACUGUACAUUUUUCGUGUCUUUUUUAAUGCACUUUUCGUUUAACAAGUCAACAUCAGUUUCUUUUGUUGUAAAAGGGUCAUUGGAAGGUGGCUUUCUUUUCGGAGAAAGUGUUUAUAGCCUUUGGCCUCUGCAAUCGGAGAGACUGAGGUCUGCAGCGUAGACUCUUCGGGGUUAGAUACAUUUGUGCUAAGUUAUAGCUUUUUAUAGACAACUUGUUGACUAUAAUUAGUCUUGUAGCUUACUCGCUUAUGCUAUUUUACCUACGCUUAGGAUGUUGACUGAUAUGUAGUCGUA
Molecule: ribosomal RNA, 778 nt
Filed under: uncultured Neocallimastigales
Lineage: Eukaryota; Fungi; Neocallimastigomycota; Neocallimastigomycetes; Neocallimastigales
Description: partial large subunit ribosomal RNA
Rfam family: Eukaryotic large subunit ribosomal RNA
Source: RNAcentral